CCUACGGGUGGCAGCAGUGAGGAAUAUUGGUCAAUGGCCGAGAGGCUGAACCAGCCAAGUCGCGUGAGGGAAGACGGCCCUACGGGUUGUAAACCUCUUUUGUCGGGGAGCAAAGAGAGUCACGUGUGACGCAUUGAGAGUACCCGAAGAAAAAGCAUCGGCUAACCCCGUGCCAUCAGCCGCGGUAAUACGGAGGAUGCGAGCGUUAUCCGGAUUUAUUUGGUUAAAAGGGUGCGCAGGCGGAGGUGCAAGUCAGCGGUCAAAUUGCGGGGCUCAACCCCGUACUGCCGUUGAAACUGCAUCCCUUGAGUGCGCGAGAAGUAUGCGGAAUGCGUGGUGUAGCGGUGAAAUGCAUAGAUAUCACGCAGAACUCCGAUUGCGAAGGCAGCAUACCGGCGCCCAACUGACGCUCAUGCACGAAAGCGUGGGUAUCGAACAGGAUUAGAUACCCUUGUAGUC
This 459-nucleotide ribosomal RNA is filed under the name uncultured bacterium. RNAcentral's name for it is "partial 16S ribosomal RNA". It matches the Rfam family "Bacterial small subunit ribosomal RNA", at positions 338 to 795 of the family's 1533-position model. The record is from RNAcentral.